RNAcentral lists this ribosomal RNA (392 nucleotides) under uncultured bacterium. RNAcentral's name for it is "bacterial SSU rRNA". It matches the Rfam family "Bacterial small subunit ribosomal RNA", at positions 30 to 420 of the family's 1533-position model. The record is from RNAcentral.
AUUGAACGCUGGCGGCAUGCCUUACACAUGCAAGUCGAACGGCAGCACGGGAGCUUGCUCCUGGUGGCGAGUGGCGAACGGGUGAGUAAUACAUCGGAACGUACCCUGAAGUGGGGGAUAACGUAGCGAAAGUUACGCUAAUACCGCACAUUCUGUGAGCAGGAAAGAGGGGGAUCGCAAGACCUCUUGCUUUAGGAGCGGCCGAUGUCGGAUUAGCUAGUUGGUGAGGUAAAGGCUCACCAAGGCGACGAUCCGUAGCGGGUCUGAGAGGAUGAUCCGCCACACUGGGACUGAGACACGGCCCAGACUCCUACGGGAGGCAGCAGUGGGGAAUUUUGGACAAUGGGCGCAAGCCUGAUCCAGCCAUGCCGCGCGAGUGAAGAAGGCCUCGG